CCGUGCUAGCUGGGGAGUUUGCGGUGCCCUGUAGCCUGCAAUCCGCAAUAGCAGGAGUGAAUCCCUAUGCCGAGGUUUAACAAUGUGAGGCCGGCCUGUAAAAGUGGUGAAGACGACCGGGUCCUGUGCAACGAGAACUCGCGAAAUCCGUCAGGUCCGGAAGGAAGCAGCGGUAAGCGAAUCAUUUCGUGUGCCGCGGGGCAGCCUGGUUCGAGCUAACUAUAUGGGUAUCGCUCAUACGGUUUAAAUCGAAGAUAGGUGCACGG
RNAcentral lists this signal recognition particle RNA (266 nucleotides) under Clostridiaceae bacterium. RNAcentral's name for it is "signal recognition particle sRNA large type". It matches the Rfam family "Bacterial large signal recognition particle RNA". Rfam says of the family: The signal recognition particle (SRP) is a universally conserved ribonucleoprotein involved in the co-translational targeting of proteins to membranes. The record is from RNAcentral. Lineage: Bacteria; Bacillati; Bacillota; Clostridia; Eubacteriales; Clostridiaceae.